Long non-coding RNA from Zeugodacus cucurbitae (melon fly), 606 nucleotides. RefSeq lists it as uncharacterized. The transcript is spliced from 4 exons. NCBI's taxonomy places the organism in Eukaryota, Metazoa, Arthropoda, Insecta, Diptera, Tephritidae. The record is from RefSeq and is a predicted model, not a curated record.
AUUUAAUUCUGUUUUAUUAAUGAACCUAGUUCAUUAAAAUAAUUCCCAUUUUAACUAAUUUAUUCGGCAUAAAGUCACCUAAAAGAAAGAAAUUUGUAAAGAAGGGUUGGGGAUUGGGAUAAUUCAUGGACCGCUUGCAAAGGCAACCGGAACAACAAUAAAUUAUGUACAUACAUAUGGUUUGAAGAGCAACAGGUUACAUUAUUUUAUAAGAAAAAACAUCGAAGAAUAUAUUUUCUGUAUAAGAUCCAGAGAUCCUAUAGGUACUUCGUGCUUGGAGAAUUAAACAGUUAUCGUACUUUCAGCAGUUUUCAAGUUAACAGUUGUAUUGGGUUGAGAGUGAUUAUUUUCCGAUUUUUCUCAAAUAGGAAGUACUUUUUGAGGAAAAAGUCACACGAAGUUAUGCCUGGCGAUUAUGAAGGAUUAUGGAUUAUGGGCAUCGUUAUUAUAUUGUUCUUCGCCUCAUAAAAACACGUCUAAUUUUAGCUUCUGCUACAAACUCCAUAUCCAAAUCAGCCAAUUGCUGCAGAAAUCCCUCAUUUGGCCGAAUUUCACGACGCAUGCGGACUUUUCGUAUCGCGUCUGAGGCGGACAUUUUGCGACAAA